CGCGGAGUGGAGCAGUUGGUAGCUCGUCGGGCUCAUAACCCGAAGGUCGUAGGUUCGAGUCCUGCCUCCGCCA
RNAcentral lists this transfer RNA (73 nucleotides) under Bacteroidota bacterium. RNAcentral describes it as "tRNA-Met". It matches the Rfam family "tRNA". Rfam says of the family: Transfer RNA (tRNA) molecules are approximately 80 nucleotides in length. Lineage: Bacteria; Pseudomonadati; Bacteroidota. The record is from RNAcentral. RNAcentral also lists the same sequence under 4 other names.